AUCCUGGCUCAGAUUGAACGCUGGCGGCAGGCCUAACACAUGCAAGUCGAGCGGUAGAGAGGUGCUUGCAUCUCUUGAGAGCGGCGGACGGGUGAGUAAUGCCUAGGAAUCUGCCUAGUGGUGGGGGAUAACGUUCGGAAACGGACGCUAAUACCGCAUACGUCCUACGGGAGAAAGCGGGGGGAUCUUCGGACCUCGCGCCAUUAGAUGAGCCUAGGUCGGAUUAGCUAGUUGGUGAGGUAAUGGCUCACCAAGGCGACGAUCCGUAACUGGUCUGAGAGGAUGAUCAGUCACACUGGAACUGAGACACGGUCCAGACUCCUACGGGAGGCAGCAGUGGGGAAUAUUGGACAAUGGGCGAAAGCCUGAUCCAGCCAUGCCGCGUGUGUGAAGAAGGUCUUCGGAUUGUAAAGCACUUUAAGUUGGGAGGAAGGGUAGUAACCUAAUACGUUGCUACUUUGACGUUACCGACAGAAUAAGCACCGGCUAACUUCGUG
RNAcentral lists this ribosomal RNA (497 nucleotides) under uncultured bacterium. RNAcentral describes it as "bacterial SSU rRNA". It matches the Rfam family "Bacterial small subunit ribosomal RNA", at positions 16 to 507 of the family's 1533-position model. The record is from RNAcentral.